This is a long non-coding RNA of Canis lupus familiaris (dog), 6095 nucleotides long. RefSeq lists it as uncharacterized. Lineage: Eukaryota; Metazoa; Chordata; Mammalia; Carnivora; Canidae. The record is from RefSeq and is a predicted model, not a curated record. The transcript has 3 exons.
GUGAUGAAAUCCUGACUCCCAAAGGUAUGGCAGUAGGAGGCUGAGGUGAUCGGGAGGUGUGUGUGAGUAGAGUGUCACUCAUGAAGAGAUGCCAUGUAAAGACAUUCCUAGCCCCUACAGCAUCUGAGAAGUCUGCAACUGGAAGAGGACCCUCACUUGACCAUGCUGGCACCCUACCCUGAUCUUGGACUUCCAGCCUCCGGAACUUUGAGAAGUUUUAGCAAAUUCCUGACCAUGGCUCUAAAACCAUUUUGAUAGAUUCGUCCUACUUUUUGUGCUUUUCUUAUGAACCUUUGAAAACAUGCUCAAAAUAGGAUUCCUGAUAAACCACCAUCAGUUUCUUCAGAUACUUUAAUCAGGAUGCCUUAUUGUUAACUAUUUUAUCAUUGUGAACAACCUUACUUGGCACAUCUCAUGAUUGAGCCAAACCUAACUGACCUUCUGCACCAGGUCCAAUGCAGUGAGGAGUCUCUUAUUGGAUGUAUUUAGUGAGUAUAAUCUCUGUCCUAAAGCCAGGGCUUCUCAGCUGGCACUUUUGUUGGGGGGUGUGUGUGUGUGUGUGCUGAUUCCUACCCCCACCACCCAGAUGGCAGUAGCACCCUUUCUGCAGAUUGUGACAACCCAAACUGCCUCCAGACAUUGGAAGUUUUUCUUAGGGAACAAACCAUCAACUGCCCCCUCAAAUUGGAAAUGGUCCAUACCUGCCUAAAAGGGUAGCUCACAGCUUCCUCAGCAGGUUUAAUUCCUCUCUUAAAAAGUGAAGGUUUUUGCAGGACAGUAAUAACUGAAAGUACAAGAAUGCUAGAAAGGUCCUCUGGAGUAAAUUCUAGUUGAAAUGAAAAAACCACACCAGGAUGGAAAGAAAACAUUUAUUGAAUCAAAAUCAAUACUUUCUUUUAAUAUCUACAAGCCAACACUGAAUGAACACAAUGUACAAAAAAAGUAUGCUUAUAUUAUAAAAAUAUGUCAAUUUUAUCUUCUGGGUGCUGAGCAGAAGUCAUUUUAAACAAAAUCAAGGCAAACUUGCUCUCUCUAAUGAAACUGCUAUAAUUUAAUAACAAAAGUGAAAGCUAAUAUAUACUCACAAAAUAUUUUAAAGGCCCACUUUAAAGGCGAUAAUGCUGCAUUGGAAAUGCUGAACCCAGUCACCAUAGUUAACAUUUCCGGUCUAUACUUAUUGGCACCACUUCAUGCCUACAUCAUGGGAAAGCACCUCUGUUACAGAAUGCAAAUCACUAACAGAAUCCAUGGCAUUGGUUAAACCUUCAUUCAGUUUCCCGUGCUAAAUGUUUGUUAGCAUGUACUUCAGCAAAGUACUAACAAUCCUAUUUGUUUAGGAUUUAAUAUGAGACACACUGCCCAAGAUUUAUCCCACUUAUGAUGUGGGGGAAGCUGCUGCCCUUCACACUCUCUUCAAGCCUCCCUAAAAAAUUUGUGUCCAAGGUUAGUAUAUUAAGAUUUUUUGUAAUUUUCUUCUUGAAUUUAUUGGCACCUUCCUUGGUGUGUGGCUACUGUAGGUCAGUUACACACUCAGAGUGUGGCCUCGGAGUUUCCAUGGAGGGACACUCUGGUACUCACUGGAGUAUUUGGUCCACAGAACAACAUAUCGAUUAGAAAAAAUAAAAGUAAAAUCAUAUCAUGAGUUCAGGAAAGAGAAGCAGGGCUCCCUGUACUAUGAGUUUAAAAGUUCAAAAGAGACUAAAAAGUAGCACUAUUGACAAGGCCCAGAAAAUCCAAUCUGUCUUUUUAAGACCUUGUACAAAGCAGUGUUCCUGGCAGGAUACAGAAUGACACUGUUACUCAGCAAAUUCCAGAAUGCAGUAUCCACACAGUAAAGUCAACUGCAAAAAUGCCUGGUUUUUUUUUUUGUUUUUUGUUUUACUAAGCAUAAAUGUUUCCUUGACAGGCUCUCUCUUUGGGACUGCCACUUAUUAAGCCUCAAAUUGCAGAAACCCAAGCACUGAGUAAUCCAGCACCCCACUGCACUGGGUAAAUUCAAAAGCACUGAUGGAGAAAUGCUUUCCUGGUUUGCCUUUAUAAGCUGGCUAUUUAUCUAGUUACCCGGUUCAUAAGACCCCGGGACUAAGAUGCAGAGAAAACAAUUACUCUUUAUUCAAUUACUUAUCUAAUUUCUUAGCUCUCUACAUUUUCACUUAAGUCCCAUUUGCUGCAUAAAAUGUUAAUCCUACUAACACCGUUAGGACUGAAUCAGACUAAUGAACAUACAUACACUACACCCUCAUAGGGAAGGUACUUACAGAAAUACACAUAAUUUGUGAAGAAUCAACAUUUUGGAGCCUGAGCAAAGGUUUCUCAUCACUGUCCUAGAAAAAAAACAGUCUCUCCACAGAUUGUUUUCACUGGCAACGAUUCAGCGAAGUCACUGUAUUGCUCUGGGUUAACUUCCAUUGCCCCCACACAGGUCUGACUGUGGAGAAGCCAAUGACUCUGCAGGUGGUACUACCGGCCAGGAGUUAACAAACAGAUCCCAUUGCAUUAAAAUAAAAACAAGUACAAACAGAAUGAGUACACAGUGAGACUGGACAAGGGCAUCACCACAACGCUGAUAUAUACCCACACCUGUUCACAGGUCCUUGCUCUCAAAAUAAAUAUACUGAACAUUUACAACCAAAUGAAUGCCUUAUGAAUGCCAGAUUUUGAUUCUAAAAUAAGCUACAGGUUACCUUUGUGUCUGUGUGUGAAACUGACGCGACUUGGUGCCACAGCUAACCUUUCUCUAACAGUAGCAGCUACCCUCAGCCCACAGCAGCAAAGAAACACUCAUUUCUGGCCUCCCGUGGGCUCCCAAAGCAACUUCAUAAAGCAUGCAGAUAUCUAUUCUCAAUGUUUCAAAUGAAUAAAAAUGAUCAUUGUGCUUGUGGGUGUCAUACCUUCCAAAAUAUACAGAAACAGUAACAAAUUAACAAUAGCAGGUCCUACCUUACCAACAAACUCAUAAGGCAGAGGGUUGGAGAUGGAAAUAGAAACUUUCAAAAUGGGGGGGGGGAGCAAAAUAGUGCUAGCAUUCACAAAAAAAGAUCAUGCUAAGAUCAGAUCCGUAAUUGAUAAAAAUUAAGCCACGAUCCAAAGUCCGUGAGUCCAAAGGCAUGCAUGCCAGCUGAAGGAAAUGCAGGGUUCAUCUGACAACAGCUUCUUCAGAGCAGAACAAGAACGUCUCACUGGAGGAAUCACAACAGGGUGAACAAGAUGCCAUCACACUUCUUUUUUGUAUUUGAAAAGGAAUCACAACAACAAAAAAUUAAGAGUGAAAAGAGAAAACACAGAAAUUCACAAUGACCUACAAAACCAAAAGAAAAAUUCAAAUUAUUUUUACACUUAAAAUUAGACAACUUUUCUUAGAGAUUUAUCAGGAAUGUAGUGUAAAACAUAAAGGUACUUGGCUAUACAUGGCAUCCCCCAAAGUAUCAACACUCAAAAUAGUAACUUCACUGAUGUUUAAAGGACAGUAUCCUUCACUGGAUGUCUUAAAGCAUUUAGUGUUCUUCCUAAGGGAAAGAGCAACCUAAAACUACUAUUCCAAGUGCCUAUGACCAUCACUUGAAACACUUAGUAAACUAUUUUUGCCUUUUUCAGACUAUGUCCCAGGUACUCACGGGAGGAGGGGCUAUCCAGCCUUUGUGUCCACAAGCUGCAUCUGCACGCUGGCAGACAUCCCACCCCCGUAGCCCCCCUUGGACUGCAUCUGGUUCUGGAUGGAGCUAACCUAAAACAAGACAAAAACAAAGCAAAGUCAAGAACUAGGGAUGAUACAACUGAUUCUGGUCUCCAUGUUUUAGCUAAAGCAGUUUUAAGGAAGAUACUUUUUAGAGCAAAAAUUUUUUAUAGACUUAAAUUUCUGACUGCCCUUAGACAAUGGUGAAGCUAGUAAAAAAAAAACAACAAAAAACAAAAACAACACUUUUCGGGCCUCAACUUCCUCUCCCCACUUACCUAUUUUAUAAUUCACAAUGUACGUGAUAACAUUUCAAAAACUGAACUACACACAUCAACUCAAGUUCUUCAUUUACAAACACCUCAAGAGAUGAUCACCUCAAUUACUUAGAAUCAAACAAAAAGAAUACAAAUGAAAUUGGACCAUCCCAAGAUAAAUUUUUAAAGUCCCAUGUGAUACAGCCCUAAAGAAUCCAAAGACUUGGAUGGUGGUUCAAAAUUAUUCAGUCAUUUUAACUCUGGUUUAAGUAUUUAUCCUCUCAAAUAGUUAAUGUGAUAAUCUCUCCUCCCCUCACCCAAGAUGGCUAUUUUCUGAUGGACUGUAUGAUACACCGCAUCUUCUCUUACUGAGUGGUAACAAAGCCACAUGAACUUAUGGGCAAGCUGAGAAGUGUCCUUAGUGGAUUAACAUUAUUCCAAUCUAAGCCGAUACCAAUUAGAAGCAGUUUGGAAGCAGACAAUCAGGCUAGAAUGCUAUAAAAAGGAGCAGUGAGGAUGUUUUGGAGGUGCCUCCCUAACAGUGAGGAGUCAGAGCACUGGCAAUCAGCUCAGUGGGCCUCCUCACCCGCCCAAGGUUCCUCGGAGGGAGAGGGGGGGUUGGUAACAACAUCCAUUUAUCAAAUACUGACUAUGAUGUGUUUUCACUGGUGAUCCUGAGUCAGUAUGUUUAAACAAAGUAGUUAAGAUUUGCCUGUUUUCUAAGCAAGGUAGGUUUAAAUAUAAUAGGAAAAAAAAAAGCAAAAAAUAAAAUGCAUAGCUUCUUUAGAUCCAAAAGGGUUUCAGUGAGAAAAUCUUAAUGUGGAACAUAUUACUCUAGCGAUAUCACAUGUGUUACAGUCUUAUCUAUAUAUACAUUACUCAAAUGACUACUUCAGGUAAGAGUAUUAAAAAAAACACCUGAAAUCUAUCGGCCUGUUUAUUUUCAGUCCUUGUGCCGGGUCUAGAGGCUAGAGGCAUAAGCUAUCAGUUCAAGUUCAUUUCCUAUUCCUUUAAGGUAACAUGUUUUGUGGCACAACCUUUAUUUUACCCAGGUACCAAAUAAUUUCCUCCCUAACAUGUUACCUUUCCUAGGUAUUUCAGGCCUAUUUAUAAAAAGUAACAUGUUUGUAUUUUCACAUCAUGCAUUCAUAAUGUCAUGCUGAUUCUAAGCAAGAACACUGUUUUCCUCCAAAAGUCAGUUGUUCAGUUUCACACUACAGAUUUUGGAUUUUCUAAUAGCUUAUUUUUGACUGUGUAUAUAUAUAUAUAUAUAUUUUUUUUUUAACACAAUAAGACUAUGUUAUUAAAAGAGUUAUGGGAUCCUUUCUGGUAAGAAGUUAGUAUGAAAGGUAAUCUUGAGAAGCACAGUGUAUUUAAGGGAAAAGAGAAACUCUCCUGUUCAGGAAUCCAGUGUGGCAGAGCUGUUCCAAACGCAUCAAGCCCUGUACCUCAUACAUGCUGCACAGUUGUUAGGACAGACUAACUUAAGGCAAGCUAUUUCUUUGGAUAAACAACAUUUUUUGGUUUUGUCUCCCUUGCACUAUUGCAUAGACACAAAGAAUUCUCUUACCGAAUCAGGCUCAUACAAGUUACGUCUAUCCACUGAUACAACUUUCAGGAAAACUCGGAGAUUACGUAAUACUGAACCCAACAGAAGUGUGUGAAGAACCAACCUGGUGCUCUGUGUCAGAGGCUGCAUGUCACAUUACAAACAAAAACUAAAGUUAAGUACAAAAAACCUUUCAGAGACACAUUAGGUUCUAAUGAGCUAAGACACUUCAUUAAAAAACAUGUAUUCUGUAAGCAGAGAAGGCUGCCUUGGACUCAGCAGGUAGACUGACAGCUGAGGGCCUGUCUUGAUCCAGCUCUCUCAGCUAAAGAGACAGACCAUGGAUGCCCUACAAGAGACCAUCCUGAAGUUCUAGCUAAACUGAUGGCCACAAGAGUCCCCUACAUCAACGACAGUCUCCUUGCGCAAACAAAAAGUCAAAAAAGAAUUUUAAAGGAAGUUCUGAAAUGUACAUAAACAGUAUUUAAAAAGUGAAAUAAACAUGAACUAAAAUUUAAUUCAUCCUAUAGAGUUUUAAAAUAUGAAAUGCAGAAGAAGACAUUUGUUAAGAAAUUAAAAUUCAGCAUGUAUAAUAAAUUUGAAACCAUUCACUCUA